GACGAACGCUGGCGGCGUGCUUAACACAUGCAAGUCGAGCGGUAAGGCCCUUUCGGGGUACGACGAGCGGCGAACGGGUAGGAGUAACAACGUGGGUGGACCUGCCCUCCAGCUCUGGGAGUAAGCCUGGGAAACCGGGGUACUAAUACCGGAUAUGACUCCAUGACGCAUGUUGUGGGGUGGAAAGCCUUGUGCGGCUGAGGAUGGGCCCG
RNAcentral lists this ribosomal RNA (212 nucleotides) under uncultured bacterium. RNAcentral describes it as "partial 16S ribosomal RNA". It matches the Rfam family "Bacterial small subunit ribosomal RNA", at positions 28 to 233 of the family's 1533-position model. The record is from RNAcentral.